GCAGUUCAGAUUUGCCAUUAAAAACAUGAGAGUUCAAAAUUGAUUAAAAAUGGAACAAUACACGGGACCCGUUUGCGCAGACCAAUAUACGUACUGUGCAGGCUGUGCAGCAUUUUGCAGCUAAGCUCAAGAACAGUUAAGUCGCGUGCACGGUAGCUGAUCGCUGGCUCAAGAGGCGCACAGCGCACGACCUUUACAAGCCACAGGUCAAUACAGGCGUCGCAGUCUCGCCUUCCCGUCCCGGCCAGCUCCGCAUGCCACAUUAAUGAACGCAGCCACACGAUCCGCGAGACAUGAGCUCUAUGCUUCACGUGUUGGCCCUGGCAGCGCAGGUUAAUGAAACGCGCGGCGAGAUAAUUUGCCGGCCUAAUCGCCGUCACCCGAGGCUGAGAGGACGAUUAGAUUAGGCAGCAGCAACAAUGCCAUCACGUUGUGCUGUGCCUGUGCGUGCGUUUGUUUUGUUUCACCCUGCAGCCGUCUCGUGAUUCAUGAG
This 493-nucleotide long non-coding RNA is filed under the name Brachypodium distachyon (stiff brome). Its description in RNAcentral is "long non-coding RNA (BDIS_LNC005941)". The record is from RNAcentral. Lineage: Eukaryota; Viridiplantae; Streptophyta; Magnoliopsida; Poales; Poaceae.